RNAcentral lists this transfer RNA (72 nucleotides) under Emticicia sp. CRIBPO. Its description in RNAcentral is "tRNA-Arg". It matches the Rfam family "tRNA". From Rfam's summary of the family: Transfer RNA (tRNA) molecules are approximately 80 nucleotides in length. Their secondary structure includes four short double-helical elements and three loops (D, anti-codon, and T loops). The record is from RNAcentral. Lineage: Bacteria; Pseudomonadati; Bacteroidota; Cytophagia; Cytophagales; Leadbetterellaceae.
GGUUUCGUAGUUCAACGGAUAGAAUAGUUGUUUCCUAAACAAUAGAUCUGGGUUCGAUUCCCGGCGAGACCA